RNAcentral lists this long non-coding RNA (2046 nucleotides) under Oncorhynchus mykiss (rainbow trout). Its description in RNAcentral is "lncRNA (ENSOMYG00000065840.1)". Lineage: Eukaryota; Metazoa; Chordata; Actinopteri; Salmoniformes; Salmonidae. The record is from RNAcentral.
AUGGAUUGCAAUAGACACGCCGCAUUUUGGUCUGACUCUCAUAUACAGAAAACCGUUACAGAAUCACCCACCACAAAGGGACCAAGCAGCCAGCGUGUCAACAGGCAGGAACAGCCCAAAGUGGAGUACAGUAUGGACUAUACUUCUUGGGAGGAGAUAGACAGGUGGGCGGUCGACCCAGGGAGAGUGCCGGAGCCCGCCUGGGAUUCGAUGGAGCAGUGCGCGGAAGGAUAUAGGAGAAUGGAGUUUGCGAAGCAAGCAAGGCGGCGCGGACGGAGGCCCCAGAGUCAGCCCCAAAAAUUUCUUGGGGGGGGGCUCAGGGAGAGUGUGGCAGAGUCUGGAGCCAGACCUGAGCCAACUCUCCCUGUUUAUCGUGAGGAGCCAAGGAGGAGACCAGAACCAGAGCCGGUGUUGGAGGUGAGCGAAACAGAGACUGUGAAGGAGUUAAUGGGGAAAUUGGAGGAGAGAGAAAUGAGGGAGUUGCUGUGUUGGUGUUUUAAACAUGGAAUUCGCCCGACGGAGCGUGUCGGGGAUUUGAUGGCACCUGGGUCAGCGCUCCAUACUCGUCCUGAGGUGCGUGUUAGUCGGCUGGUGAAGAUGGUGCCAGUCUCACGUACCAGGCCUCCUGUGCAGCUCCCUAGCCUUGCACGUCCUGUGCCAGCACCGCUCUCAAGAUCUCCAGUACGCCUUCACGGUCUAACCCAUCCUGUGCCACCUCCACACCCCAGCCCUCCGGUAGCAGCUCCCCGCACCAGGCUUCCUGUGCGUGUCCUCGGCCCAGUACCACCAGUGCCAGCACCACGCAUCAGGCCUACAGUGCGCCUCGCCUGUCCAGCGCUGUCGGAGCCCUCCUCCUCUCCAGCGCUGUCGGAGUCUCCCGCCUGUUUAGCGCUGUUAGAGCCUUCCUUCUCUACAGCGCUGCCGGAGUCUCCCGCCUGUUCAGAACUGCCAGUUUGCAAGGAGCUGCCAGUUUGCAUAGAGCUGCCAGUUUGCAUAGAGCUGCCAGUUAGCAUAGAGCUGCCAGUCUGCAAGGAGCUGCCAGUCUGCAAGGAGCUGCCAGUCUGCAAGGAGCUGCCAGUCUGCAUAGAGCUGCCAGUCUGCAUAGAGCUACCAGUCUGCAAGGAGCCGCCAGAGCUGCCUGUCUGCAGGAUGCCGCCAAAGCUGCCUGUCUGCAAGGAGCCGCCAGAGCUGCCAGUCUGCAAGGAGCCGCCAGAGCUGCCAGUCUGCAAGGAGCAGCCAGGGCCGCCAGUCAGCAUGGAGCAGCCAGGGCCGCCAGUCAGCAUGGAGCAGCCAGGGCCGCCAGUCAGCAUGGAGCAGCCAGGGCCGCCAGUCAGCAUGGAGCAGCCAGUCAGCAUGGAGCAGCCAGUCAGCAUGGAGCAGCCAGAGCAGCCAGUCAGCAUGGAGCAGCCAGAGCUGCCAGUCAGCAUGGAGCAGCCAGUCAGCAUGGAGCAGCCAGAGCUGCCAGUCAGCAUGGAGCAGCCAGUCAGCAUGGAGCAGCCAGAGCUGCCAGUCAGCAUGGAGCAGCCAGUCAGCAUGGAGCAGCCAGAGCUGCCAGUCAGCAUGGAGCAGCCAGUCAGCAUGGAGCAGCCAGAGCUGCCAGUCAGCAUGGAGCAGCCAGUCAGCAUGGAGCAGCCAGAGCUGCCAGUCAUCAUGGAGCAGCCAGUCAGCAUGGAGCAGCCAGAUCUGCCAGUCGACCAGACUCUCCCAGAUCUGCCAGUCGACCAGACUCUUCCAGAUCUGCCAGUCGACCAGACUCUUCCAGGUCAGCCAGGAUCUGCCAGAUCUGCCAGUCAGCCAGGAUCUGCCAGAUCUGCCAGUCAGCCAGGAUCUGCCAGUCAGCCAGGAUCUGCCGAAACCACCAGCCAGCCAGGAUCUGGUAGAUUCAUCAACCUGCCUGAGCUUCCUCUCACUCCUGAGCUUCCUCUCACUCCUGAGCUUCCUCUCACUCCUGAGCUUCCCCUCAGUUCCGAGCUGCCUCAGUCCCGAGCUGCCCCUCAGUCCCGAUCUGCUCCUCAGUCCAGUGGGGUUCUGGGUGAGGACUACUAG